Gasterosteus aculeatus aculeatus (three-spined stickleback) is the source of this 389-nucleotide long non-coding RNA. Lineage: Eukaryota; Metazoa; Chordata; Actinopteri; Perciformes; Gasterosteidae. The record is from Ensembl.
CUCCUCUCCAGAGAUGCACGUCGGUUGCCUUUCGGCUCUCUCCUGCCUCUGCAGUGUGCACAUGCCGACGGUCUGUUACUCUCUGCAAAUCAGGGAUGAAGGACACCGCAAUCCACCAAAGGAGGUUCGCCGACCCGGACAGCGGCCGCCACACAUGGAGGACACAGCCGGUGGACCAGCACCGGAGCAGAGGAGGCCGUCCGGGGUCAACUGUGCUGCCUGUCCGUCAUCCUCCACACAACUAGACUCUGCUGGCUGCCUCCACGCUCUGGCAAUCCGGCUCAAGGACCUUUUUUUUUUUUUUGUUGUGCUGCGAAAGUUCUCCAUGUACUCUUUCGUCUUCUUGAAGUACACGGAGGGUUUCUGUUGAUGUGAAUGCUCAAACAUGC